Molecule: transfer RNA, 61 nt
Filed under: Fannyhessea vaginae
Lineage: Bacteria; Bacillati; Actinomycetota; Coriobacteriia; Coriobacteriales; Atopobiaceae
Also listed under: 1 other name
Rfam family: tRNA
About the family: Transfer RNA (tRNA) molecules are approximately 80 nucleotides in length. Their secondary structure includes four short double-helical elements and three loops (D, anti-codon, and T loops).
Source: RNAcentral
GAUGGCGCAGCGGUAGCGCAGCUGACUGUUAAUCAGCGUGUCGUAGGUUCGAAUCCUACUC